GACGAACGCUGGCGGCGUGCUUAACACAUGCAAGUCGAGCGGUAAGGCCCUUUCGGGGGUACACGAGCGGCGAACGGGUGAUUAACACGUGGGUGACCUGCCCUCAGCUCUGGGAUAAGCCUGGGAAACCGGGUCUAAUACUGGAUAUGACUCCAUGACGCAUGUUGUGGGGUGGAAAGCCUUGUGCGGCUGAGGAUGGGCCCGCGGCCUAUCAGCUUGUUGGGGGGUGAUGGCCUACCAAGGCGACGACGGGUAGCCGGCCUGAGAGGGCGACCGGCCACACUGGGACUGAGACACGGCCCAGACUCCUACGGGAGGCAGCAGUGGGGAAUCUUGCGCAAUGGGCGAAAGCCUGACGCAGCGACGCCGCGUGAGGGAUGACGGCCUGGUGUAAC
RNAcentral lists this ribosomal RNA (395 nucleotides) under uncultured bacterium. Its description in RNAcentral is "bacterial SSU rRNA". It matches the Rfam family "Bacterial small subunit ribosomal RNA", at positions 28 to 429 of the family's 1533-position model. The record is from RNAcentral.